CUUAUUAGAUUUUGCUUCCCAUAAACUUUGUACAUCUUUUGCUUCAAGUAUUCCUUAAGAGUUCUCUUCAAAUUCGAGUUCUUGCCUACGAAGUUGUGCUGGAAACUCUCGAUCUAGUUCCCCUUCCGUGUAUGCCGGUGAGAGGAGAGUCCUGGAAAGACAAGCGCACACCCGCAUUUGGUGUCCAGGAUCACCUUCAGAACGCACCUCAAGCCCCUCUCAUCUUCGCUCGCUUGUCUCCGUGGAAUCACAGCUCUUCCGUCGCAGACCAGGCCUUGCUGUGUGCCUUCCGUGGCUCACACCCUCGUGUAACUGAUGCUGACCUGAGCUAUGUUUUAUUUCUGCUCAGCUUGCGACCCUUCCAAUUUUUAGCACAGUGCAUUGGACAAAAUGGAAAACUAAAGCUUUUUUUUAAGUUAAUGAAUGAUGACUGUAUGUACUGAGCCAUGAUAACACAAAAUACCCGUACCAGAAUGUGUGCGCGAGUCCUCGGGUGUACAGACAGACAGACCCCUCUCUCUACACAGAUGUCAAGCCUGGCAUCCUAACCCCAGUUUCACGUAACCUCAGGGUGUGCUUCAUGCAGCUUUGCUGGUGAGAAAGGCGCCCUGGGCCUGCCUCGUCAGGCCGGUGGCUGACGUUAGCUGUGCAAGUAGCUGUUAUCAUGACAGCAGCCAUGAAUGUUGCUCUUCAUUCCGCGGAUGCAGUAGGAGAACAAUGUAUAAUUCUGUGAUUGCAAUUGAUAACCUAACAUAUAACCUUUCAUGAAGUAUUUAGGAAACAGUACGUUUUUGUUUAUUUAAAGGAGGGAAGCACGACCUCAUAUAACUUACACAUUUAACUUACCAAAGAAUCACAAAUCACCUCCCUUCACCCCCUUCACCCUUCCUAUUUACAAAGACUGUUUCCAUUUUUCAUAUUUUUUUCCUUUUCUCUUACUUCCUUUCCCUUCCCCUUUCCACUUCCCCUUUAGCCAUUUUCUUCCUAUUUCACACUAUCAGUUAUACCAUUUGAACCUUAUUUACACUUUUAGUUUUUCACACCAGUUGGUAUUUACUCAACUGUGUCCUAUUUAUUUCACUGAAGAGUAUGGCCUCAAUGUGCAUCCAUUUAGCUAUAAAUUUCUCUAGGUUCUCAUCCUUAUGGCUGAGUAGUAAUAUUCCAUUUUAU
This 1170-nucleotide long non-coding RNA is filed under the name Fukomys damarensis (Damara mole-rat). Its description in RNAcentral is "lncRNA (ENSFDAG00000027696.1)". The record is from RNAcentral. Lineage: Eukaryota; Metazoa; Chordata; Mammalia; Rodentia; Bathyergidae.